GGAGUUAGCCGGUGCUUCUUCUGUGAGUGAUGUCCUUCCUGCCGGCUAUUAACCCGCAGGCCUUCUUCCUCACUGAAAGUGCUUUACAACCCGAAGGCCUUCUUCACACACGCGGCAUGGCUGGAUCAGGGUUGCCCCCAUUGUCCAAUAUUCCCCACUGCUGCCUCCCGUAGGAGUCUGGGCCGUGUCUCAGUCCCAGUGUGGCUGAUCAUCCUCUCAGACCAGCUACGGAUCGUCGCCUUGGUGAGCCGUUACCUCACCAACCAAGCUAAUCCGACAUAGGCUCAUCCGAUAGCGCGAGGCCCGAAGGUCCCCCGCUUUCCCCCGUAGGGCGUAUGCGGUAUUAGCCUGGGUUUCCCCAGGUUAUCCCCCACUACCGGGCAGAUUCCUAUGCAUUACUCACCCGUCCGCCGCUCGCCACCAGGGAGCAAGCUCCCCGUGCUGCCGCUCGACUUGCAUGUGUUAGGCCUGCCGCCAGCGUUCAAUCUGAGCCAUGAUCAAACUCUGA
Molecule: ribosomal RNA, 508 nt
Filed under: uncultured bacterium
Lineage: Bacteria
Description: partial 16S ribosomal RNA
Source: RNAcentral